GGACAUUAAGUUGUAGAGUUUCUAUCUUUCCAAUGGCGUGUCCCUCCAACGCCUCGAAGGAGCUUCCAAGAGAUUCGACCCGAUCACCCAUAUUAGAGAUGAUUUGGUCAAGUUUACCUUCCAUGUUUGUUGUUUCCCUCACCUUACUCUUUCCUCUAGUUUUCCUUACUUCAGUUUGGGCAGCACCUCGGCCCCUCUCCUCAAUCUCAAUAUCAACAGUUUCUUGAGAUUCCGCCAUUUGAGCACCUCACCCAAAUCUAGCAUCCAAGAAUCUCCGACGAAUCUGGCUACCACAGCCGCACUUGGUUACCACAACCAAACCUUCGCCUUAGACUGCCUCUGUAGUCCACACCACGUGAACCUUACAUGGAGAUCACCUCACCUCUGAGAUGAAAAAUUGGUUCAACCCCACGUGAACCUUGCUCUGAUACCACUUGUCACGGGCCUAGUUUCGUUACACCCGAACAAACUAGAACCGUGCGGCCUUAACGUUCUACAAUUCCCGCACCUCACGAGAAAACGUUAAGUCAGCCU
RNAcentral lists this long non-coding RNA (534 nucleotides) under Olea europaea (common olive). Its description in RNAcentral is "long non-coding RNA (OEUR_LNC006516)". Lineage: Eukaryota; Viridiplantae; Streptophyta; Magnoliopsida; Lamiales; Oleaceae. The record is from RNAcentral.